Rhinolophus ferrumequinum (greater horseshoe bat) is the source of this 488-nucleotide long non-coding RNA. RefSeq lists it as uncharacterized. The record is from RefSeq and is a predicted model, not a curated record. NCBI's taxonomy places the organism in Eukaryota, Metazoa, Chordata, Mammalia, Chiroptera, Rhinolophidae. The transcript is spliced from 3 exons.
CAGAAUUAUGACAUGGAUUUUUCCUGCCAAGAGGAUGAGACUUUUCCAUUAAUCAAAAAUUAUUUAAGGGAAAUGGAAGAACUUGAGCUCGGGAACCGGAAAGACCUGGGUUCAAACUCUGCCUCUGCUGCUUACACUUAUGCGACCUGAGGCAACUUCCUUCUCGUCUCGGAGCCCCAGUCUCCUAACCGGACCCUCUUCUUGAAGUUCACGGACUCCACGUGUACCAACACCUGGCCCAGCUCAGUGCCUCCUGCCCACCGCUCUCAAUUCGGACGUAUCUGUUGUUGUUCAUUGGCUUUCUCUCCUCACUAGGACGUGAGCUCCCUCUGGGCAGGUGUCCAUCUGUCUCUUCAGCUCUAUCCUCAGAGCCUGUUAGGGAUGAGGAGCCAAGAUGGAUGCAGAGUGACUGCUGCUUUUGAAGUUCGUGUGGUGACCUUGCUGUUCCUAUCAUCCACUCAGCUGACACUUACUGAGAACGGACCAGA